RNAcentral lists this ribosomal RNA (402 nucleotides) under bacterium. RNAcentral describes it as "partial 16S ribosomal RNA". It matches the Rfam family "Bacterial small subunit ribosomal RNA", at positions 355 to 776 of the family's 1533-position model. The record is from RNAcentral.
UGGGGAAUUUUGCACAAUGGGGGAAACCCUGAUGCAGCGACGCCGCGUGAUUUAGAAGGCCUUCGGGUUGUACAAAUCUUUUCUAUGGGAAGAAAAUGACAGUACCAUAGGAAUAAGGACCGGCUAAUUACGUGCCAGCAGCCGCGGUAAUACGUAAGGUCCGAGCGUUGUCCGGAAUCAUUGGGCGUAAAGGGUACGUAGGCGGGUAAGCAAGUUAGAAGUGAAAUCAUAUAGCUCAACUAUAGUAAGCUUUUAAAACUGCUCAUCUUGAGGUAUGGAAGGGAAAGUGGAAUUCCUAGUGUAGCGGUGAAAUGCGCAGAUAUUAGGAGGAAUACCGGUGGCGAAGGCGACUUUCUGGCCAUAACCUGACGCUGAGGUACGAAAGCGUGGGUAGCAAACAGA